This 926-nucleotide ribosomal RNA is filed under the name uncultured bacterium. Its description in RNAcentral is "bacterial SSU rRNA". It matches the Rfam family "Bacterial small subunit ribosomal RNA", at positions 1 to 917 of the family's 1533-position model. RNAcentral also lists the same sequence under 1 other name. The record is from RNAcentral.
UGGAUCCAGACUUUGAUUAUGGCUCAGGAUGAACGCUAGCUACAGGCUUAACACAUGCAAGUCGAGGGGAAACGACAUCGAAAGCUUGCUUUUGAUGGGCGUCGACCGGCGCACGGGUGAGUAGCGCGUAUCCAACCUGCCCACCACUUGGGGAUAACCUUGCGAAAGUAAGACUAAUACCCAAUGAUAUCUCUAGAAGACAUCUGAAGGAGAUUAAAGAUUUAUCGGUGAUGGAUGGGGAUGCGUCUGAUUAGCUUGUUGGCGGGGUAACGGCCCACCAAGGCGACGAUCAGUAGGGGUUCUGAGAGGAAGGUCCCCCACAUUGGAACUGAGACACGGUCCAAACUCCUACGGGAGGCAGCAGUGAGGAAUAUUGGUCAAUGGACGAGAGUCUGAACCAGCAAAGUAGCGUGCAGGAUGACGGCCCUAUGGGUUGUAAACUGCUUUUAUAAGGGAAUAAAGUGAGUCUCGUGAGACUUUUUGCAUGUACCUUAUGAAUAAGGACCGGCUAAUUCCGUGCCAGCAGCCGCGGUAAUACGGAAGGUCCGGGCGUUAUCCGGAUUUAUUGGGUUUAAAGGGAGCGUAGGCCGGAGAUUAAGCGUGUUGUGAAAUGUAGACGCCCAACGUCUGCACUGCAGCGCGAACUGGUUUCCUUGAGUACGCACAAAGUGGGCGGAAUUCGUGGUGUAGCGGUGAAAUGCUUAGAUAUCACGAAGAACUCCGAUUGCGAAGGCAGCUCACUGGAGCGCAACUGACGCUGAAGCUCGAAAGUGCGGGUAUCGAACAGGAUUAGAUACCCUGGUAGUCCGCACGGUAAACGAUGGAUGCCCGCUGUUGGUCUGAAUAGGUCAGCGGCCAAGCGAAAGCAUUAAGCAUCCCACCUGGGGAGUACGCCGGCAACGGUGCAACUCAAAGGAAUUGACGGA